Non-coding RNA from Phascolarctos cinereus (koala), 4786 nucleotides. NCBI's taxonomy places the organism in Eukaryota, Metazoa, Chordata, Mammalia, Diprotodontia, Phascolarctidae. The record is from RefSeq and is a predicted model, not a curated record.
UAUCUAUAUCUAUAUUUAGAGAUAGAUAUAGAUAGAUAUCUUAUAUAUCCUGUCCUCAGGUGAGGGUCUCUGAUCAUGCUGGAUACAUUGUCUCUUACUGGUCCAGUAGCUCUGAUGACAUGGCCAAUGGGGGUGGAAAGGAGAGAAAGUCCCUUCCCCCACCUUGUUGUCUUCUAGUACAGGUGAAGGGAUCUACCUCCACAAAAUAUGCUAGAGCCGGGAUUCUUAAAAUCCUGAACUACUAUUGCUGAAAGCCCUCCAGCUAUUUAAAUCCCUAAAGGUCUGAGCCAAUGGACAAGUUUCCUUCUUGACCCAAAGAUGUCUGUAUCUCAUAAACAUAGAAACAUCUUAAUUAUACAUUAAACCCCAUCAUUUAUAAUUACAUCAACUAUGAUUAUAUCAGCUUAGCUGGAUAGGAGGGAAGGAAAUCAUAAACCUCCUCGGUUACAUAAAAGAAAUAUAAAUUAAUAUAAUCCUAAAGCAAAUUGACAAAGAUUGAAAAAACAUUCAAAGUCAAUGCUGAAAGGGCUAUUAGAAGGUACUAGUGGGAAAGCAAUGAACAGUCUAGUCAUUCUGGAUAUCAUUUUGAAAUUAUUCAAAAAGUGAUUAAAUCACUAUCUUUUGACUCAAAGAUUAUACAUAGUCUAAGGCAUAUACUCAAAAUAAGUCAAAGCUGAAGUUAAAGACCCACUAUUUGCCAUAAUAUUAAUAGCCUUUCUCUUGGUCAUAGCAAAAAAAACGAAAAGGAGUGACUGAGCCACCCAUUCAGGGAAUGGCUAAACAAAAUGUGGCAUGUGACCGUAAUAAAAUGCUACUGUGAAUAAGAAGUGACGAUAAAGAAGAAUUCAGAGAAACAUGAGAAUAUUUACAUGAAUUGAUCAAGGAUAACAUAAACAGAACUAGAAAAACAAUCUUCGUGAAUAUAAAUGAAAAGAUCAUUAAGAUGAAGUCAAACUUUGAGUAAUUAAAAAGUCAAUAACAGUUCCAGACAACACAUAAUGAAACAUAUGUCCCUCCUCUUGUCAGGGAGAUAAAGGACUGUGAUGACAAAAUGUUGCAUACAUUUUCAUAUGUAGUUGCUGUAGUUGCUAUUUAAAGCAGGCAGGGAGGGUUUACCUACAUAUGACUGGGAAGUGAAAAAAGAAAAAGGAUUCAAUAAAUUAUUUAAAAGUAAUUAAAAUAUAACAUAUCCAGUGGCCUUUUGUCACUUCUCAUCUUCCUUUACUUCUCUGGAGUUCUGUUCAUCUCUCAUUUCUGUCCUUUUUUCUCCUUUCACAUGGUUACCAGGAUAGUUCAGGCCUUAAUAACCAUGCACCUAGAUUUCUGUUUGUUCUCCUUGCUUCCCAUCUCUCUCUUCUUCAAUCAAUUCCACACACAGCUGAUAAAAUAAUCUUCCUAAGGUAAAUGUCUGACAAUAUCACUCCUCUGUUCAUAUUUCUACUGCGGUUAUCUAUUGCUUUAAGGAUAAAAUAUAAAAACCUCAUCCUGGUAUUUAAGGCUUGCCACAAUUUAACUCCAACCUACUUUUCCAGGUUUAUUUCACAUUAUUCCUCUUUAUACAGUCAACAUUACAGUCAAACUAGACUUCUAGCUGUUCCUAGAUAUCAGCAUUCCACCUGUUGACUCCUAAAUUCUAGGUUCUAGAGGCGUAAUCUUUUCCCCUCACCAUCUGCUCUUUUAAAUAUGUAACUUUUGUAGCAAAUCAGUCGUCAUACCAAAAAGUGAAAGGCAACUUUUACAUCAGAAACCAAAUUUACUGGGUGACAUCUGGAAGUUCAGUUGGUUGGUUGUUUCAAAUAAGGAAAAACAUAGCUAUUGAAAAGGGGUCCUUUAACUCUUCUAGUUGGUGUGUGUUCCUCUAGAUCUGCAGAUGGUCUCUGCCUUUUUUACUCUGUUGCUGAUUCCUGGUGAUGUAAGCACUAGCAGCUGGGACACAAAUUCUCAAGGUUGUCAUAUUUCAAAACAAACCCCAAAAAGACUUUGGGCCUUCCUUAUGAACAAAAAGGAGCCUGAUUUCCUCACAUGGACUAGAUGUUUCCUCUCAGUUUUCUCUGCCUUCAGGAUCUAUAGGGCCCCAAGUAGAGCAUGUGGGGUCAGAGGCAAAAUUCACGUAACCCACAUAAUAACACCAACUUGUAUGGGACUCUCUCCUCAUUGAUGAAGACUAAUUAUACACUGCUCCAUAGUCAUGUGAGGGGCAAAGUUGGUGAGAGCUUGAGAGAAGGGAGAUCCUGGUAUUCUGGUUUCCAGCUUCAAGAGAGAAUACAAGUGGGUCCAGAUUCUCUUCAGAUCCUUGAAGGAAGAGAAAAACUCUGGGAAGAAGCUGAUAGCAGAGGAGUCAGCCCCUCAACCACAUUCCUAUCCCCAGGCUACUUCACUUGAGACUUCAAAGAAUUUCCCCUUAGGCACCUCCCAGGACAAGUACAAUAGAGUGUCGGAGUGGAAUGAACCCUCAAGGAGGUCAAGUCUAGUUGGGGUCAACAAGCCUAGAUUUGAGUCUCAGCUCUGCCACUCAUUAGCUGUGUGAUCUUGGGAUCACAGAAUGGUGACUCCAGAUGUCUAGAGGUCAUCUAGUUCAACAUCCUCAUCUUAUAGAUGAAGAAACCAAGGCUUGGAAAGCCAAAGCAACUCACUUAAAGUUCUACAGUGUACAAUCAGCUUAAGUGAUUUGACCAAAGGCACACAAAUAAUCAAUGGCAAACUCCAAGGGUCUUGACUGCAAAUCCUCUGCUCUUCCCAUCAUACCACAUUAUGUGUUCAACCGUCUUGCCUCAAAAACAGAGGAAUAAUUCCAGGGCACAAGGGCCUAAGGGUGAAGACACUGAGACAUUGUCACACCAGUGCUGAAGAACCCAAAGGACUGAUGGGAAGGGACUCUCAAAAGCGAACACACUGCUACGGGUUCUUUAACUAUAGUUUUACAAUAUUUUUGAACUUGAAAUAGUAGUCAUCCAUCUGGGGACCUUGUCUAUAAACCUGUUCCUCUGACUGGCAAGAAUGGAGUGAUAACAGAGAUACACCAAGCUGUGAUGCAUUGUUGCAGAAAGUGGAGCUGGAGGUCAUUAGCCUCUCAAAAUUCUUUAACCAGGAUAGCAGUUUCUAUUUUGUUUAGAAUAGAGGGGAAUAUAGGUUGGUUAAAACUAUUACCUUGCCACGAUGUCUCUUAAGCCCUUUUUUGUUUCAGGAAGUAAAGCCAUAGGGAGGUUUACUUAAGCUAGGGGCUAUAAGACCUAAGAACUAAAAUGAGCUUAUAGUCAUAACUUAGGUUAACAGUUGAACUGAGAGACAGCAGUGGAGAUAGUUGAUGACAAGACAGCUAAGUUGAAAAUAAAGGUAAAGUUCUGAGACAAGAAGUCUUCAAAAGAAGAGAAACAGUAGCUCAAAGGGUAAACCUAAUGUCCAUAUAGCUCUUGCACUUUCUAUAAAGUCCAGCCUAUUGGCUGGGAAACCUAACUGAAAAGAGCUGAAGCCAGCUUUGUAACUAUUAGCUGAGAAUGCUGAUAAAGAAUUGCCAUAUUUUUUGACUGAGAGAAUUGAAUGAAUCUUUAAAGCAAUUGGCUAAGGAGCCUAGCUAAGAAAACUGGGGAGAGCUUUGUAGCCAUUGACUGAGAAUUCGGGCUGAAGAGAGUUAUAGCCCUCUCUGCCAAGGAGACAAUUACCAAUCAGCACCACCAGUAGAUGGAGGAGAAAUUUCUUUUGGAGGUACUCCAAAGAUAGUACCUCAGCUGAAGACUAUUGCAGAGUCCCAGAAGGAGGUUAAAAGAGAAGGCUGACACAGCUAACUGAAAAUGCUUCUGACUUCUUCCUUGAAGAGAAAAGCCACAGCACAAAAACUCUAGUGGAUGGCAGAGGUAGCUAAAGAGGCUGGUUAAAGAGUUGUAACACUAGCAAACCUAUUGGAUGAUGUUUCAGGGUAGCAGGUGAAAAUAUACAGAAUUAAUCAUGAGGCAGAAGAGAGAAAAGCACCUAGCAGAGAACAGGAGGAUACAAUACUUGGAAGAGAGAAUCAGAGAGCAAUUUCUGACAGCAACUGGGGAGGACAAAUUCUUAUUGAGAAGCAGGUAUAGCUUAGAACAGAGUGAUGGUAUCAGCUGAAAACUUUGGCAACUUUGCAGUGUGUGGAGUAUGAAGUCCUUCCAUGUAUAUGCCUUGGUCAUACUUGUUUCCUGGGAGUGCAUCCUUUCACGUUUGAAUGCCUGUGUAUGGAUGUCUCACACAUAAUUCCUAAUAGGGUCUGCUCUUCCCAUCAAAUGUAUAUAUCAUUAUGAGACAGUACCUUCAAGGUUUAUUGGAAAAAUAUGUUAUUAUUUAAAAUGAUUUUAAUUAAAAUGCCUUUGUUAUGAACAAUGUGUGCUCUAUGGAUUACUAAUAAAAGGAAAAUAGAGUGGUGGGAACUCAUGAGGUAAAAGAGAAUUCUCACCAACACCACCAGCCCUAUACCAAGAACCUAGAGUAGCUAACUGGGGUCACAGAAUGAGGAGGAAGUCAGUGGGCUAUACCAAGAGAUCAAAAAUGUGUUGCUUAGGCAGUUUCCUAUACUCUUUCAGUCUAUUCAGUCUGGUAACUUCUUUGCAUCAAUUAAACUCUUGCAGAAAACAAUGAUACAGUCCCAACAACUAAAGUUUUCAGUGCAAAGAGCAAAUUAGUUAUGUGCAGAAAGGCUCAUCACUAAUAUCUUGGUCACUAGGUGAUGAAUUCUUAAGUCAUGAAAACUCAUGAAAUCAAGUAACUAUCAGUAGAAAAGGAGGAGAAGAAUGUCUAAUGAAACUGUUUAAGAUUCCUUAAA